Molecule: long non-coding RNA, 3153 nt
Organism: Mus musculus (house mouse)
Lineage: Eukaryota; Metazoa; Chordata; Mammalia; Rodentia; Muridae
Product: RIKEN cDNA A730099G02 gene
Exons: 2
Source: RefSeq, a predicted model, not a curated record
UGAUGGUGAGUGGUCUUGGUUCCUGUUAGUAGGAUUCCUACGUUUACCUUUCGCCAUCUGGUAAUCUCUGGAGUUAGUAGUUAUAGUUGACUCUGUUUAGAGAUUGUUCUUCUGGUGAUUCUGUUACCGUCUCUCAGCAGACCUGGGAGACAGAUUCUCUCCUCUGAGUUUCAGUGCUCAGAGCACUAUCUGCUGGCAAGCUCUCUUACAGGGAAGGUGCGCAGAUAUCUUGUUUUUGGACCUCCUCCUGGUCGAAGAAGAAGGCCCAAAACAGGGCCUCUCUCAGAAGCUGUGUUGCUUUGGCAGUUCCCAGAAGCUGUCAGCUUCUGUGGUGCAGACUCUCACCUGUGCAGACUAAAAUCCUAAGUUCCAGGGAGUCCUGGAACCAAGAUGGUGACCGCUGCUCCUGAGGCUGAGGCCAUCUCCCGAGCCAGGCGGACACCUGUCCUCUGGUCCGGAUGGUGGCCGGUUGUCUGCGGCCCGCCCAGGCUGCUGCCUCAGCGGCUCUGUGCUUCUGCCCGUCCCAGAAGCUGUCCGGUUCUCUGGCGCACCCUCUAACCUGUUCAGACUAAUUUCCUAAGUUCUGCUGAGUCCCGGAACCAAGAUGGUGACCGCUCAAUAAUAUUAUUUUAAAACAAUGAAAAUCCCUUAGUUACUCUUAAUGUGUUUUAUUUAGCAUAUAAGUGAGGUAGAUACCUAGCAGAUUUUCCUAUAAUAUUAAAGGAAUUGUUUUCUUCUACAAAAGGAUGACACUUGCUUUACAAACACAAUUACUGAGAAUAUUUUAAAAUUAUCUUAUUUUCAUUUUAAAUUAUUUUUUGUGCUAUGUAUCUAACAAGAACCUUAUACAUGCUAGAAUAUUGGUCUUUGACUCAAAAAUAUUUUAGUCUUUAAAUGUAUUUAAUUGAGUCUUAGAAUCUUAAGGAGAAACCUUCAGUUCUUCCUAAGAUGUCCUCUGUAUUUCUUGACCAUAGCCAUUACUUCUUUGAUUCAGAUAGUCUGUGUCUGGGGAUAUACUUUUUGUUUAUUAUUUUUGAGUCUUAAAUAACCAUGGUUAACUUAAUCCUUAAUUUUGAAAGUUUGAGGCUACAUUGAGAAAAACUGUAAAAUUUUCCAUUGGGUAGAGACGCCAAAGAUUAGAAUAUCUUUUCUUAACCAAACUUCCAAAUAUAUUCUCAUUGCAUCAGCUGUAUUCUCCUUGCAGGGAUUUACUACGUUCCCAUUGCAAGAAAUAAAAUGGUGCCUUUGAGUAAAUCUGCUUCAUCAGACACCAGUUUAGCAUGCCAAGUUAAAGCCAUCAAUGGAGAAGCAGCAGAUGUGAAGGCUACUUGGCAUCAAAGCAUAUGAGUCAAAGAGUUUCCUAUGGGAAAGAAAGUGCUUCAUUACACUUUAUCUAUAGUGAGAACAUUGGUUCUAUCAAGCUGUCUGGAAAUUAGAAUAUGAUGGGUUUUAUUGCCCUGGCUCUGCCAGAGAGAAUUCAAUAGUUAAAAAGAAAGCCAUAAUGCCAUUUUGGGAAUUAUAAGAAGUGAUUUCAGUGUUAGUGUAUUUAAACUUGGAAGAGCAGCAACUUUUAUCUUAGAAAGUAGCUUCUCUAAAAUAUCUGGAGGACAGAAGUUUAAUCCCUUUCUAAUUGUUACAUUUAAAAUGUGUACUAAUGCAGCUUUGGGACACUUUAAUUAAAGAAAAAAGUUAUGUGUUCGACUGAAGUGUAAAAUCUGCUAAGCAGUGUUUUAAUUGGCUUGGAAGGCAAGUGCCUGAAGUGGCUGCAAUUGCAGGGUACAGUAUGGGACUCUCCCCGCCUGGCACUCCCUCUCCACUCAGUGGAACAACCAUUCCUACUGUUUGUCAAGUUGGGAAGGGCAGCAUAAAUAAGGUGUCACACCUCAUUAAUCUUAGGGGCAAAUGCCCCACAGGGACUAGAAAAUUCUAAAGUCAGUUAAUAAAAUUACUUUGAAUUGGAACAUCAAGUGCUGGAUAAUGGUUGCCAAUGUGAGUGUUUACUGCCAACGAAGAGCAUUUUGAAAGAAAUACAAACAUGACAUAUUUUUGGAAACGAGAUAAAUUUAUAUAACUAUUAUCCAAAAAAAUGCCUUGGAAUUUAAAAAAACUAUAAUGUUUAUUUCUUAUAUAAAAAUAGGUAAAAUGUAAAUUCUUCAUGUUAUACAAAUUUGUGAAUAAAAACAUAGAGUUUUGAAAAAUAAUAAAAAAAGAACCUCAAUUCAGUUUGAAUAAAUUGUAUUUACUACCAUUGUCCUUGGUCACUCUGAUUUUUCUUUUACUUUAUUCCUUGGUUUGUUUCUGUCUUUCUCUCUCUCUUUCUUUCUUUCUCUCUUUCUUUCUUUCUCUCUUUCUUUCUUUCUCUCUCUCUCUCGCUUGCUUGCUUUCUUUCUUUCUUUCUUUCUUUCUUUCUUUCUUUCUUUCUUUCUUUCUUUCUUCCUUCCUUCCUUCCUUCCUUCCUCCUUCCUUCUUUUUCUUUUUUCUUUGUUUUUCUUUCUUUAGGAAUGAGUCCAACAUUAGAGUAUUUUAUAAUAUACUGCUCUUAUUGGCAAUCCAUUAAUUAUCUGAUGAAUUUGUUGAAAUUAUCCUUAAUUCAUAAUCUCCUAGAUAGUCAGUACUCUUUGUUUUUGAGGUUUUUUAAGCUUUUUUUUUUUUUUUUUUUUUUUUUGGUUUCUGCAGGAGAAAUCUGUGCUUCUAUAUAUUUACACAUAUUGAAAAUAACUUUCACAUUUGCCAACUGAUUUUUUAUGAAUAAAACAUGUGUGUUUACAGGCAUGUAUGUAUGACGGUGUGUACGUAUGUAUGUGUGUCUAUGUGUGAGAGAGAGAAAGACAGAGGCAGGGACAGAGAAAAGCAUAGAGAUGGAGGCAGAGAUAGAGAUAUAGAAAGGAAGAGAGAGGGAAAGAGAACAUAUAGCAGCCAGAACACUUUAUCACGUCCCUGUCACUAGGUUCACAGGUACCUGUGUCUACAGGUAGCUUCUCACAUACAUACUGGGGUUCAAAACUCUAGACUUUUGCUCUGCGUAAAAGGCACUUUACAAACUAACAUAACCCGAAUGCCUAAAAUUUUUCUUUAAAAUGAUUUUCAAGCCUUUCCCCAAAGAUAAAGUAACACUAUUAUUACUUUGCUCUGACUUAGGAAAAGUUGAUAUAA